UACGAAGGGUGCAAGCGUUACUCGGAAUUACUGGGCGUAAAGCGUGCGUAGGCGGUUUGUUAAGUCUGUUGUGAAAGCCCCGGGCUCAACCUGGGAAUGGCAAUGGAUACUGGCAAGCUAGAGUGCGGUAGAGGGUAGUGGAAUUCCCGGUGUAGCGGUGAAAUGCGUAGAGAUCGGGAGGAACACCAGCGGCGAAGGCGGCUACCUGGACCAGCACUGACACUGAGGCACGAAAGCGUGGGGAGCAAACAGG
RNAcentral lists this ribosomal RNA (253 nucleotides) under uncultured bacterium. Its description in RNAcentral is "partial 16S ribosomal RNA". It matches the Rfam family "Bacterial small subunit ribosomal RNA", at positions 524 to 776 of the family's 1533-position model. The record is from RNAcentral.